RNAcentral lists this ribosomal RNA (711 nucleotides) under Triticum aestivum (bread wheat). Its description in RNAcentral is "partial small subunit ribosomal RNA". Lineage: Eukaryota; Viridiplantae; Streptophyta; Magnoliopsida; Poales; Poaceae. The record is from RNAcentral.
AUGAACAACUACGCAGCAUGGUCUAAGAUUCAACCUACUGGUGCCUUUUUUGGUAGUGGAACUCAAGGCCUUGGUUUUUACCAUGUGGAUGUCCCUGUUGCUAAUGAAUCUAAGUGGUUAAAUUUCCAGAACUGUGCGGUGGUUAAUAUCUUAAAAGGAGAAGUAGAUUGUGCUAAACUGAUGGAACUACUGUCUGCUACCUUUUGCAAAACUAAACACUGGGCUUGGCAAAUCAGGGGGCUCUCCAGCAAGACCUUUUUGGUCAGACCCCCCCUCUGGAAGAAAGUGGAAGACCUCAUCGAGAUGCCUGGAUUCUCCCUCCCACAAGAUGUGAAUGUGACAUUAACUGAAUGGAAGGGUGGAUGUGAACCUUUUGGAGAGUUGAUUGAAGCCUGGGUACUGAUUGAGGGGAUUCCCCCAAAGUGGUGCACUUGGAAAGUGUUUGCCCAGAUUGCUUCACUAUUUGGGGUGCUUACAGAUGUGGAUUGGAAUGGGAUGUUUAGAACUUUUUUUGAGAAUGUCAGAAUCAAAAUAGCCUGCAGAGAUCCAACCAAGAUCCCUUUUGAGAGACUGAUUGAGAUGAAGAAAAAAGUAUUCCUACUUGGCUUCACUGUUGAGGGGUUUGAACAAACUGGGGGUGCUGACUCUGUCAUUGAUAUAGAUGAGGAUGAUGAUGGUAAUGAGGAGGAUGAGGGAGCUGAAGAAGAAUAA